Molecule: long non-coding RNA, 1079 nt
Organism: Eucalyptus grandis
Lineage: Eukaryota; Viridiplantae; Streptophyta; Magnoliopsida; Myrtales; Myrtaceae
Exons: 4
Source: RefSeq, a predicted model, not a curated record
UCGUUUUUGGAUUCUCUCUCUCUCUCUCUCUCUAAACGGUUUUCUCUCGCUCUCUCACGCUCUCUCUCGAGGGGGGGAGGGGAGAAAAACGGACUGUCUUCAUCUCUUGCUCGGCUGAGAGCUCACGAGGAAAAAGGGGAAUCGAGGAGAGGAAAAUCGAUCAAUCGCCAUCGCUCCCUUCCCCUGCCUCGCGUGCGAUUCGAGUCGAUCGGAACCAUCGUCGGCAGCGACGACAACGACGACAACGACAGCGGUGCUAAUAGAGGGCUCGGAGAGAUCUGGCUCUCGAUCGGGUUGGGCUCUCCGAUCGGUGGCUCGACGUCUAGGGUUUUCGGGGGAUUUCGAUCGAUCGAAAGCGGCGGUGACGACGACCAGUGGUGACAGCCACUCCCGAUAUGUACCUCUCUCUGUUCUAGUUCGGCGGAUUGUUCUCGCUCGCUCAAUCAAAGACGGAAUGGCCGGACGAGGAGCUCGACAGGGAUUCGGUUUCCGAGAAUCAACAGCAACGGCUUCCGAUCUUUUCUUCGUUCUGUUUCUCAGGUAACUCUCCUGCAGCUGCGAGGCUCAUAUCCGUGUAGUCAGUAGCAGCGGCGACAGAGUUGACGGAGGAGUAUAGGUGUAAGGUUCAGUUUUACAUUGGAUGAAGAGCUGAAGAGAGCUGCUGCAUCCAAUCAUGUCAAAGAUGCACUCGUAGCUAAAAUUAGCAAAGAGCGCAUUAGAACAGAAGCUCUUCUUGGCUUAUAUGGACGCUGCAUGGAGCCUUCUGCAGCUACUUGGGUCGUUGUCUCUUACUGUCGUCAGUGUACACUUUGUCGUGGCGAGACUCCUUAGCUUAAUUCCCUUUCUUGAAUCAAAUGUUGAUGGAGAGCUCAAUGAAGAUGUAUGGGCAGUGAACUUGUUGAUAUCCGUGCUUCGUCAAAGCUGUGGGUAUUAACAGGUAAGAAUAGGGCAGUUUUUCUCUGGUUACUCUGAAUUUUUUUUCAUCUGCUAUCUUUUCACUCAAUGAAAAAAUAUUUGAGUAAUGAACUAAGCCAUCAGGAUUGUAGAGCUGAAAUUUCUAUAAGUGAAAGCACAAGAGA